RNAcentral lists this ribosomal RNA (253 nucleotides) under uncultured bacterium. RNAcentral describes it as "partial 16S ribosomal RNA". It matches the Rfam family "Bacterial small subunit ribosomal RNA", at positions 524 to 776 of the family's 1533-position model. The record is from RNAcentral.
UACGGAGGGGGCUAGCGUUGUUCGGAAUUACUGGGCGUAAAGCGCACGUAGGCGGCUUUGUAAGUUGGAGGUGAAAGCCCGGGGCUCAACUCCGGAAUUGCCUUUAAGACUGCAUCGCUAGAAUUGUGGAGAGGUAAGUGGAAUUCCGAGUGUAGAGGUGAAAUUCGUAGAUAUUCGGAAGAACACCAGAGGCGAAGGCGACUUACUGGACACAUAUUGACGCUGAGGUGCGAAAGCGUGGGGAGCAAACAGG